AGUCGUCGCUAGUGUACACGGUAGGUCGUAGUGCGUCAUACCGUGUCACUGUGAUCUAAGGUGUGGGUCGACUGGUGCGGGUAGUUUUUCCCGAGAAUUUUCCGAGAGUUUUCCCGGCCGGCCAGUCAGCCCCCGUGAAAACCUUCUGUAAAAACUCGCAUUGUAAUCACGGAGGACGACCUUAACGCGGUCCGCGACGUUAUUGAUCGUCUCCGAACGGCGACGGACGUCGAACGAACGUUUGGAUUGCUGCCGACUGGGCCGCGACUCUGCGAGGCACCUACCCUAAUAGAAGUUCAUGUCAGCUAGUCUGUGUCCGUCCGUCCGUCAACGGUUGCUGCUUACCGAUGCGCAGUUACGAUUGUUGAAACCGGGAAUUCAUCACGCUCGCGGAGUGAGCUUUCAGGACUUGUUGUAUCGACGAGCCCGCCGAUGGAAUCUGGAUUCGGGAACAAACGCUCACGCGAAUGACAAUGCAAAUAGAACGAUAGAGAUCCAUGAUAUUUGCUGACAUCAGCCGCACAACUGGUACACUUUUUGGUCUUGCACUUCAUUUUACACUGAUAUCAUUGGUAACUUUGCAUGCCCAUAAAACUGUUUUGUCAUGUUGCUUCUAUAAAUUGUGUGUGCGUGUGUCGUGUGGGGAA
This 647-nucleotide long non-coding RNA is filed under the name Acyrthosiphon pisum (pea aphid). RNAcentral describes it as "uncharacterized LOC107884758, transcript variant X1". The record is from RNAcentral. Lineage: Eukaryota; Metazoa; Arthropoda; Insecta; Hemiptera; Aphididae.